AACUAUAACGGUCCUAAGGUAGCGAAAUUCCUUGUCGGGUAAGUUCCGACCCGCAUGAAAGGCGUAAUGAUUUGGGCACUGUCUCAACGAGGGGCCCGGUGAAAUUGAAAUACCUGUGAAGAUGCAGGUUACCCGCGACUGGACAGAAAGACCCCAUGGAGCUUCACUGCAGCUUGAGAUUGAAUCCCGGUGACAGAUGCACAGGAUAGGUGGGAGGCGCCGAAGCAUUGCCCUAGGGCGGUGCGGAGCCGAUGUUGGGAUACCACCCUUCUGUUGCUGAGAUUCUAACGCGAGGAGUAACGACCCUGCGGACCCUCUCAGGCAGGCGGUUUGACUGGGGCGGUCGCCUCCGAAAGAGUAACGGAGGCGCCCAAAGGUUCCCUCAGGCCGGACAGAAACCGGCCGAAGAGUGCAAAGGCAGAAGGGAGCUUGACUGCGAGACCAACAAGUCGAGCAGAGACGAAAGUCGGGCUUAGUGAUCCGGUGGUACUGAGUGGAAAGGCCAUCGCUCAACGGAUAAAAGCUACCCUGGGGAUAACAGGCUAAUCUCUCCCAAGAGUUCAUAUCGACGGGGAGGUUUGGCACCUCGAUGUCGGCUCAUCACAUCCUGGGGCUGAAGUAGGUCCCAAGGGUAUGGCUGUUCGCCAUUUAAAGUGGUACGCGAGCUGGGUUUAGAACGUCGUGAGACAGUUCGGUCCCUAUCUGCCGUGGGCGUUGGAGAAUUGAAAGGGGCUGCUCCUAGUACGAGAGGACCGGAGUGGACGCACCACUGGUGUUCCGGUUGUGUCGCCAGACGCAUUGCCGGGUAGCUAAGUGCGGAAGAGAUAAGUGCUGAAAGCAUCUAAGCACGAAACUUGCCAAGAGAUGAGUUCUCCCUGUCUUUAAGACAGUAAGGGUUGUUUAAGACUAAGACGUAGAUAGGUCUGGUGUGUAAGCGGUGCGAGCCGUUGAGCUAACAGAUACUAAUUGCCCGAGAGGCUUAACUAU
This 987-nucleotide ribosomal RNA is filed under the name metagenome. RNAcentral describes it as "bacterial LSU rRNA". It matches the Rfam family "Bacterial large subunit ribosomal RNA", at positions 1938 to 2925 of the family's 2925-position model. The record is from RNAcentral.